AUCCUGGCUCAGGACGAACGCUGGCGGCGUGCCUAAUACAUGCAAGUAGAACGCUGAAGGAGGAGCUUGCUCUUCUGGAUGAGUUGCGAACGGGUGAGUAACGCGUAGGUAACCUGCCUGGUAGCGGGGGAUAACUAUUGGAAACGAUAGCUAAUACCGCAUAAUAGCAGUUGUUGCAUGACAACUGUUUGAAAGGUGCAAUUGCAUCACUACCAGAUGGACCUGCGUUG
Molecule: ribosomal RNA, 230 nt
Filed under: uncultured bacterium
Lineage: Bacteria
Description: partial 16S ribosomal RNA
Rfam family: Bacterial small subunit ribosomal RNA
Source: RNAcentral